GCCCCCAUAGCUUAACCC
This 18-nucleotide transfer RNA is filed under the name Gallus sonneratii (gray junglefowl). RNAcentral's name for it is "partial tRNA-Phe". The record is from RNAcentral. Lineage: Eukaryota; Metazoa; Chordata; Aves; Galliformes; Phasianidae.